RNAcentral lists this ribosomal RNA (253 nucleotides) under uncultured bacterium. RNAcentral's name for it is "partial 16S ribosomal RNA". It matches the Rfam family "Bacterial small subunit ribosomal RNA", at positions 524 to 776 of the family's 1533-position model. The record is from RNAcentral.
UACGGAGGAUGCAAGCGUUAUCCGGAAUGAUUGGGCGUAAAGCGUCCGCAGGUGGCAAUGUAAGUCUGCUGUCAAAGCGUCUGGCUCAACCAGAUAAAGGCAGUGGAAACUACAUAGCUAGAGUAAGGUAGGGGUAGAGGGAAUUCCUGGUGUAGCGGUGAAAUGCGUAGAUAUCGUGGAGAACACCCGUGGCGAAGGCGGGCUUCUGGCUAAUUACUGACGCUGAGGUGCGAAAGCUAGAGGAGCGAACGGG